AGGGCAGAGCCUGUGUCCAGCUGGCCUGGGAUUGAAGCUGGCUCCAUCACAUGCUCAAUGUGGAGCUUUGGGCGCUUCCUAUGACCUCCCAGAGCCUCCGUUUCCUCAUCUGCAAGAUGGGACACAAUCACACCUGCUUCAUAUCAUUGUUAUGAAGAUGGAGAAUCCACGGCUCCGAGACGUGAGGUGACACGGCACCCAGGCCUUCUCACUGUGUGCCAGGCUAUGGUAACAUCCUGCUGGACUGAGCCAGAUGACACAGAAUCCGCUUAAACCGACUUGUGGAGGUCCUGAUGUUCUACAGGUGCCAUCUUUCUAUGCCCAGUGUGAUCAGGCUGUGUGAAUUUUGGGUGGGGCUCUUCGGGGACACCAGCCUUCAUUUAUUGAGCCUCUACCAUGUGCCAAACAUGUGACUCUGUGACUGGUUAAUCCCCACAAGUCAAGGAGCUGGCACGGUUGUCUCAUGUAGAGGUGGAGAAACUGAGCUGUAAGGACCAGCGCCAGGAGUGCGGGAUGUGGGUCUGUGCUGCACAGCACCGCCCCGCAGAAGGGGAGCAGGGAUGAAGAGGAGGCGUAGACUCCAUCUCGGGGAAAAAAAGAGUAAAGAGAGCGCUGUCUUGAAGAAACUACAAGUGUGGAGAGUCUGCAGACGUUGGAGGGAGAUGAAGGCGGUGCUGAUUCAGGAGACAGAGCUUUAGCCAGGAAAGCAAGCUGGCAGCCACUUGGAAACCACCAUCUCUGACACCUCCUGAGUGCCAAAGCCACAGAACACAACCAGGAAUCAAAGCCGAAGGACCCCGCUCUCGUGAUGGUGAGAGGCCCCAUCUGCUUGGGUGUAGGAAGACAUGGGGGAUGGAGGGUGGGCCCCAGACAGGCUUGGGAUGCUGAGCCAGGUGCUUAUCCUCCCUCCGGGGCUGCUGGGAGACAUCAGCAGCAGCCACCGAGGCAGAUUUGGGCGGGAGGUCUGGACUGUCACCCCGUGGGGGAUCAGGCUAGAGCUUCACAGGUCGUUGCCUGUGGGCUCUCUGCCUGGCUGGGUCAGCACGCUGUGCACUUUCCUAAUGAGGCUGGGAUCUGAUUCCAGCAUCAUUAAACCAACUGCCUCUUGGUGGGUCAGAACCUGGCAGAGCACUGGGGUUGACCUACAGUGGCCCCCAGCCUGGAGAUCAGGCCCCAAGGCAGGCUUGUCUUCCUCAGCCACACUUCCUGCUGGGGCCUCGGGAGCAGGGCUGCAGGGCUGCCAGACACAGCAGUGCAGGUCAUGACAGAAAGCAGGGGCGACAGGCAGACCCAUGCCCUGCUCCCCAGGCUCCGUGACCGGGCAUGCGGCCAGGUCCUCCAGGAAGAAGGGCACCUUUCCUCACACAGAGGCACCCCUGACUUAUGCGUGCUUCUAAUUCAUCAGCCUGCAGAGGGCGCCUUUUCCUAAUUUGCACACACACAUUGUUGGGGGGCCCCCAGACCCCCAGUUCUUCCUUCUGCCCCACUCCUCUCUCUCGGACCUGCCUCCCCUCCUUGCUCAUUCAUCUCCUGGGGUUUCCACACUGUUUCCUCCGCCCCUUCCUUCCUCCCUGUCUUCCAGCCCUCAUCCCACCCUCUCUGCCCUCUUCCUCUGUGGAUCCCUCUGGCCUGUCCCCUAGAGUCAGCCAGCUCUGGGUCCUUACCUACUGGGUCGGAGGCAGGGACAGGCAGCCCAGGAAGGGUGGGCCAGGCCCCUGCUAGCUCAGGGUGGCACUGGCACGUGCAGGGAGCCUGGGGCGUGGGGGAAGGUCCCGGCUCCUUCCAUCUGCCAAGCUCCUAAUAUAGGCAGCGGCAGAGAGGGAGCGGGGAAGCAGGAGGCAACUUGGAGCUGGAGGUGACAGGCCUGCUUCCUCCGUAUAAAUAGUCCCGUCUGUCACCCCGGGGGCGGUGGCUUCCUGGGGCACUUCUGAUGUCAUCUGCUUCCCAGGAGAGAGUUGCUGGUACCUGAGGGGGCCUGGGAUGCAGGCUGACAUUUUGGGGCGAGGGGGUACCCUGACAUGCCUGAGGGCUCAAUACUCAAUACUCCCAGGCAGUUCUAGCCUCUCCCACUUGCCUUCUUGCCGUAGGACAGGCAGAGGCCCACCCCCCUCCCCAGGCUGUGCAGACCUGGGCUUGAGCCUCUUCCAUGAGGCACCUAGGAAGGGACCCUUCCUGGGCAUCAUCCAUAAAUUGCUCGGCUGGCCCAAGGGCUGUCUGAGCUAUGUGAGGUCACCCCAAGGGACGAUAAGGAGAUGGGAGCCUCAUUCAGCUCCCCACCCUGUGAGAUGGGCCGUGAUUGGAGCAACAGAGAGGGUUCUGUUGCUCCUUGCUCGUCCCCUGCAGAAGGAGGGCACAGAGCUCUCCCUCACACCCCACCUCAGGUUCCCAGCAUCUGUCUGGUAUUCCUGAGGAUGGGUGUGCACUUGCUCCUCCUCAGCAACCUUGUCAGGAAGGUGGAGAACGCAGAGCUGCCUCCAGCUGGCACUGAGCACAGGGAAGCUCCCUGAGGACCGGGUGGCCCAGCAGACAGGACAUCCUCAAGGGCUCUGCCUCCCUCCUCAGUCUGGAGCUCCUGCAGCCACCUCCCUUUCCAUCCCUCCUCCCUCCUGCAUGGAGGGGGCCUGGCCAGCUGGUGAUGCCCCUGCGGGAAUCUGUGAGGGAAGCUGCUGGGGGUUUGCCCAGCCCCUGAUGAAUAACAGGCAGGGCGAGGUUAGACCAGGUUGCCCGGCUGCACAGCAGACUCAGGAGUGCCUUGCAGCGGGAGAAAGGCACUGGGCAUCGACCUGAGACCAGAGCCUCCAUCCCCCAGCUGCUGGUCUGAGUUAAGCUAGGAGGGCCCACGUGGUGCCCCCUUACCCCGGAGGUGGUCCUAGUGUCUGCAGAGGUGGGAAGUAGAGGGCUGCAGGACAGGCGGGGGACAGAGGCUGCACCCUGUAGACCCUUUUGAGCCAAGUGGCUUUUCAACAGGGUGGCCAUUGCAGAACAAUGGCACUGGUCCACACGCCUCUGUACUUGCAAGCUCUGUGACGGUGGGAGAGAACCAACCUCCCUCCCCUCAGGCAGAACUCAUAACAACCGUAGGACAUCAGACAACGGCCCCGGGCACCUGGCAAGGACCGGCCUGAUGACUCAGGCCCCACCUCCACUUCCAGUUUCCCUGCCGGAAGAGCCCCUCACCCAUGAGCCAGGAACAGGAAGGUGCUUCGUGGUGGAGUGGACCCCAUCAGUGCUGCCCAUGUCCCCUCCACCCUUCUUCCACUCCGUGCCCACCCGCUCGCCUUCCAGGCGCUCCGACUCACAGAGUGCGGUGUCGGGAGUCUGCACUGCCCUCCCACGCGGCAGCCCCAGCAGCUGGGAGCUGGGAGGCCCUGGGCGCGGUAACUGUGGGGCAUGUCCUGGCCGCCUCCCAGCAUUCCCAGCCGCAUUGCACUCCGCUUGCCUGCGGCAGCUGCCUUCCCUCUUGUCUCCUUCCCCACAUCCACCAAUUAAACUGGAAUCCAAUUGGAUCUGAAUUCUUGUCACAAGGCCUGCCUCUGAGGAGACCCAACUAAGAGUUGGACACAGUUGUGAGCUAGUUCCCUGCAGGACCCAGUGACUAAGAGGCUGGAGGGGAGGGGGCGGUGGCAAGGUCUGACUUCAGCCGCUCUGAUGGCUUCAGGGCCGGGGCUUUCGGCAGACACUUUGCUAUCUGGCUCUGCAGAUUCCGUUGCCAUUGCUGCUGUGACAGGAGCCAUCUCCUCUCGUGUUCCUGGUCUACGUGUCUUAUCAGCCCUUCUAAAAGGGCUGGCAGCUGGUGGGUGGUAGCAAAGUCAUGCCCCCUCCUAAGGGAAAUGGGAUCAGAAAACUGUGGAAGAUGAUUAACGUGCCUUGGGCGUUUACUGUGUUAUAUUUUGCUUCCUCUCAUUACAACCCUCUGGACAGGGCUGCCAUGUACAGUCAGGCAGGUUGUUCACUGCACAGGGGCACCCGGCCAAGAGGACAGCCUGUGUUCUUUCCACAUAGUGGGAGCCAUCCACUGUCCUGCUUGUGAGCCGUCUCAUUGUCUCCAUUUUAGUGCAGAAACCAAGGCACAGAGAGUUUAAGUAAUUUGCUCAAGAUUUCUCAGCACGUAGGAGGCUGUGCUGAGCUCUUCAUCUAAGAAUUCUGGCUGCAGAGCCUGCAUUCCCAGCUACGUAGCCUCACACUGCCUUGACAGGGCGGGGCCAUCAUGAGAGCUAGAAACCCCGGGAAGGCUCUGACUCCUGGGCACCAGUCAGGCCUGGGACACAGGGACUCCGGAGAACCAGGGGAAGAGGGUCACCUCUGGUG
Long non-coding RNA from Cebus imitator (Panamanian white-faced capuchin), 4308 nucleotides. RefSeq lists it as uncharacterized. The transcript has 3 exons. NCBI's taxonomy places the organism in Eukaryota, Metazoa, Chordata, Mammalia, Primates, Cebidae. The record is from RefSeq and is a predicted model, not a curated record.